This 36307-nucleotide long non-coding RNA is filed under the name Panicum hallii. RNAcentral's name for it is "long non-coding RNA (PHAL_LNC000331)". The record is from RNAcentral. Lineage: Eukaryota; Viridiplantae; Streptophyta; Magnoliopsida; Poales; Poaceae.
AACUAGAAUGAACAAUGCAGUAGUAAUAAAUGCGAGAAUAUUGACUUCCAUAAUCUCUUUAUUUUUUUUCACAAUAACUCGGGAUGUAAUCCCAUAGAGAGGAAAAAGGGGUAUCCUGUAAAUUUAAGGGGAGGACUUGCAUUCUGAUAAUACUGAAUCAAUUCAAUAUUAUGAAUAUUGGAUCUAUCAAAUCAAUUUAUGGUUGAUAGUGGAAUAAUAUAAUAUAGGAGGAUCCCUUAUCCAUACUAAGACCAAAAUAGGUUUUUUGAUUGGAUUCGAAACUCCCUCUAUUCUAUGUUGCAUUCUUUUCUACUUUUGCUUUUCCAUAUGUAUACCCAAAAUCCUUCUUAUCUUAUCCAAUUUCCCUUCCUUUUUCUUAUAGUUAUACAUACAAUUAUGUAUGUAUGUAUUAUAUGACCUACUUUCUAUGGGUCACAUAGACAUCCAAAUAAGGAGUAGAAGUAGAAAUGAGAUGGAGAAAAGGGUAUCUUAAAUAAAAAGGAUCCAAUAUUUAAACUUAGGAAAAAAAGUGUUUGCUUGGUUUUAUUUUAUUAGGUUACCAUCAAUAUCUGCUUUUCUUCGCAAGUCUCUCAACGCUCCACUCCUUCCUCAAGACAAAAAGCGGAAGGAUCAAGGGGACAAUGAUGAGGGUGACAAGUCAGGGGCUCAAGACUUCCAAGACCCGAAAAAUGUUGUCAAUGUCAUUUUUGGCAGAGACGGUGGCUUCCCCUCGAGGAGCGCACAGAAGCUGACCCUGCACGAAAUUCUCUCUGUCGAGCCGGCCAUACAGAAACCUCUGAGAUAUAGCGAGGUCCCAAUCUCCUUCUCUAGGGAUGACCAGUGGACUAGCUUCUCCGAGCUGGGAAAAUUCCCACUCGUCCUAGAUCCUAUCAUGGCAGGCUCACAAUUGACUCAAGUACUCAUCGACGGCGGGAGCGGCCUCAACCUGCUCAUUGCGAGUACAUUGAAGAUGAUGGGGCUGAACAUCUCCAAGAUGCUUACCCCCAGUAGAGCUCCAUUCUACAACAUCGUCCUGGGAAAUGUGGCUAUACCACUCCGCUCAGUGGCCCUGCCAGUUACUUUCGGGACGAAAGACAACUACCGCAAGGAGUACAUCAAGUUCAAGGUGGCCAACUUCGAGUCAUCAUACCACGCCAUCCUCGGCAGACCAGCUUAGGCCAAAUUCAUGGCCAUACCUCACUACGUCUACUUACUACUCAAGAUGCCAAGUAAGACAAGUGUACUCACGUUCUGUUCAAGUCAUACGACUGCAACCAAGAGGCGAUCGAGUAUGCCACGACAUCACGCAUGCUAGAACCUUUUGCGAAAGUCUUCAUGGCCAUGCAAAAGCUCACGGACUCAGAGAUGGAGAUCCCCAAUCAGAGGCCUAGCCAGUCCAGAGUAAAGCCCAACCCUAGCAACGUUGGCAUCAAGACCAUUCAGCUACAAAAAGGCGACUCAUCCAAGACUGCUUUGAUUGAAGGCGGCUUGAACGACAAAUAGGAAAGUGCGCUCAUCAGCUUCCUUAGGGCCAACCAUGAUAUAUUCGCGUGGAAACUAGCGGAUAUGCUGGGCGUGCCCAAGGAGUUGAUUGAGCAUUGCCUAAAAGUUGACCCCAAAGCCACUCCGAAGAAGCAGCGACUACGACGCUUCAUAGCAGACAAGAGGGAGGCCAUCAAGAAGGAGUUAGCAAAACUACUCACGGGUAGUUUCAUUAAAGAAGUCUACCACCCCGAGUGGUUAGCCAACCUGUACUAGUUUUGAAAGUAAAUAAUACUUCAGCUCUUCACUAAAAUAUACACCAACAAAUUUUCCCGUUGGGAAAAGUAAUGUAUUAUUUACAUUUUUUACGACAAGAAUGGGAGUUAAGUAUAAACAAUGAGGAAUGUGAGAUGCUGAAUCCUUCUGAUACUAAAAAGGUAAGGUACGAAGCUCGUUAUACCAAAAUGAAUGGAGGAUAUGUGUGGAUUACAUUGAUCUCAACAAACACUUCCCGAAGGAUCCAUUCGCGCUCCCACGCAUCGAUCAAGUCAUUGACUCUACGGUUGGCUAUGUCUUGCUCUCUUUCCUUGAUUGCUACUCGGGUUACCAUCAUAUUGCUCUCAAGGAACAAGACCAGAUCAAGACAGCAUUCAUCACCCCUUUUGGAGCAUAUGCCUGCACAACUAUAUCCUUCGGGUUGAAGAACGUAGGAGCCACCUAUCAGCGGGUGUCGGUGUUUUACCGCCUGCCCACCGAGGGGUAUACCCGAGGUGGUAAGUUUUAGGUAGGGUGACGCCGAGAUCAGGAACUCGAAGGUGCAAGCAACACUAGGUUUAGACAGGUUCGGGCCAUGAUGUGCGUAAUACCCUACGUCUUGUAUGGUGGUUUGUAUUGCCUUGGGUGUUGAUGUGUUUUGAGGGGGUCCCUGCCCGCUCUUAUAUAUCCGGGAGGACAGGGUUACAUGAAUCCCAAUCCGACACUAGCCUAGGAAUCGUACUCGAGUACAACUCGAUUAGCUUCCUUCUGCAUCGGCUAGUCCUACUUCGCAUGCGAGUAGAAUACAACACAGAUAAGGUAUAGGACAUGUCCUAUUCCCUACUCCUGUAUGAACUACGUUAUGUACGCAGUCCCGUAGUCCCGGGUCUGACAAGCCCCCGAUCUCUUUGUAGCUAAGUACUGCAGGCUCUUCAAGUACUUUCGAAGUAGUCUUCAGCUUCUUUCGAAGCUCCGUCUUGAAGUUCUUCUUCGAGUACUUCCUUGGAUGCAUCGAAGCUAUGAGGUGCUCAUGCCUCAAAUUACUUCUUUCGUUGGUGUGCGAUGAAAAAUCGCACUCCAUAUGGAGUAGCCCCCGAGCCUUAGGUUGAAUCGAAGAAUCAGGCUAAGGGUCACAUUAGUCUUGAAUCUUCCUUACUCUUCGAAUAUUUUUAAAAAAUAAAUAGUCGAUGCCAUGUAUCCCGCAGCCCCCGAGCCUUGAAUCCAAAUCUCUCAGGUUUGGAAAAAAGGAUCCAAUAGUUGUGGCAUGCAGUGAAAAAAUGUUCCCUUGGGAAAUAAUUGGUUUGAUGAUACAGAUGAUGGAAGUUAGAUUUAGAAUUCGAAAAACCCCUUUUUUCAGGAUAAUUAACCCUAAAAAAAUGAUUAAUCGAAUAAUUUAUCUAAAAAUCCACCAAAUGACCCCUCGGCUUCCGAAUAUUCCCUGUGAUGACUCUUCAAUUUCAGAAUAGUAAACCUGUAUUUGGUCGCUUUUUAUUUAACCCCGCUGUAACAUAGGGUAAAAUCCAUGCUUCCAAUCUUCAAUCCGCCGAGAAAUUUCCGAAUCCCCAAUCAGAUCCGUGCUCUGCCUUCACCUCCUUUGACAAGCCCCAAGCUAGCCGAAUCUCUCCGCCCCUUCUCUGCAGCCCUCGAGCAGCUCGUGGCAAACAGAUCUAGAAUGGUGCCCAAGAGAUCCAACGAGAAAGAUGGGAAGGGGAAGGAAUCGGAGCUGCCUUUUGGGGAGUGGACUUACAGUAAGUGCUCCAAUAACGACCUCCUGCAUCUUGUUUCUGAGGGUUUGCUUCAGGGGAACAGUCUCGUUAACUGGCACCCUUGUUUUCACCAAUCUCUUCCCAUGGAGAAUGUAGACGAAAUCGUCUCAUUCUACCAUUUCUCUGAAUGGGGUUUGGCUCUCCCCACCUGUUUCUUCUUCCGUGGCCUUGUUUACUUCUACGGGCUUGAGCUCCAUCAUCUCAACCCGAACUCUAUCUACCAUAUUGCUAUUUUCAUCCACUUUUGUGAAGCUUUCCUCAGAAUUGAACCCCAUUGGGAACUUUUCUGCUAUCUUUUCCACGUAAAGCCGCAACCCACCUCCAAAAGUCCAUCCGUUGUAGGGGGCGCUGGUGUGACAGAACCGCUUGAAUUAUUCCGGCUCAAGUGCGUAGAUCAUUGCUAUACAAGCGAUAUGACCUCAACACACUUCAGAUGGAAUAACCCAAUGGUCUGUCAGGUAACGUCCCGAUAAAACCACCGGAUUCCGGAUCGUUCAAGCGUACCUCGCACGAAGGCGAGUCCAGAUAUACAAUCACUGUUACAUUUUUACAACAUAGUCAUAGUAGUUGUUACAAACCGGUUUCUAGUAGAGUGCUGCAAUCCUAACUGAAACAAAUUUAUAUAGACAUUGUUUGAAAACUUCAAGUUUCAACAAACAUUAUUCCAAGAUGGCAGCGGAAAAGAUACAACAACGCAACUACUCGUCGCAAAGAAGGCACCAUACUUAGCCCAAAGCAUGGCGUCAUUCCAAAGGGUCAUUGCCGGCCGGGGACGGAUCCCAUUCCACGGACCAGCCAGGCGGUAAAGUGCAGGGCCAAGGAGAACUAGCAACUGAGUCCUCAAAUGACAUACCUGAAAACCACAUUACGAGCAAGGCUGAGUAUGCUAAUACUCAGCAAGGCUUACCCGUCAAUUGGGUAUACUUAGCCCAUAACUGGACCAUGAGAUGUUGAAAGGCUCUAGGUUUCUUUUGCUGAAAAACAACAAAGAGUAUAUCUUUAUUUCCAUAUUUUAGCUUUCAGAUUCUAGUUCAAUUAGCCAUUCUAAGUGAGCAUCUAUACUAGACAAGCAAGUUAGGUAUUAAAUCAUACAUCAAUAUUAUUCCACCAACUGUUGCUCUUGUUACUCUAUGUGGCAGAAGUAUCAAGCAGUCUCACUCACCGCGAGAAACGGAUGAUUCCUGAAUCGAAUUUCUUAACCUUGCAAGCGAUCCUAACUCACACGCUCGGAACUUUCCUUUCCGGGCAACCAUUCCCCUCAUAUUUUGGGUCGUGGAUUAGCGCCACCACACGCGACUGUAGGACCAUACGCACAUCCAAUGUGCAGGACGUACGUCUACAGCGCGACUGUAUGACCGUACUCCUGUCUGCUAUGCAAAAUGUACUCCCACACGUUGGUGCGUGUGUACAUAAACCAAAAUUCGAGUGGUGGGGGAUAUGUCCACUUGCCGGGCCAAUCAGGUACUAGGCUUACCGCGUACCAUAUUUACGGUUUGUGGCUAGUACUUUCAAACACUUGACCACCACUACCACACAUUACGGCCUUAUCAAAUUGAUCAACACAGACGGGUACCAUCCCAUGUCAUGGUACUGCACAUAACCCCGUCCGUGAUCCUUAUAGUGAUUGCAAAAUAGUAAACAAUCAAUUCCUAUAUCGCGCGAGUGAUAGAAAAUCACUCGACUUCUACUGGUCCUAUUAGCAAAGCAUCUACUCGAUAAGGACUCAGAAAUAUUACAUAGGUUCCUAGGUUUCAUGCAACUAGGGUUUCAUAACAACUCCUAGCACUUAAUGCACAAGAUAGAUAUAUAACAAUAAAAGUGCAUAAUGUUAAAUUACUGGGUUAUGCACCGGGGCUUGCCUUCACUGGUGAGGCUGGGGUCAGUGAUAUUAGUAUCUUCUGAACCUGGGUUCAGGGCUUCAGAAAGACCCUUGGUGACAUUUACUUGAGCUUCAGAAAUACCCUCGUCGGGAUCCGGGAUUAGAUCGUAGGUACCGUCGGCAAGUGUAGUCAAAUCUACAUGAUAUUUAAUUAUUUGAAGCAAAUGGUUAUUAUUUUAUUUUCACGAUAAAGUUGAAAUCCAACAAGAAUAUAUUCAAUAUAUCACUUCAAGACUUAACUAAUUUGUACAAACAACAGAAAGAUUUGAAACUAAACUUAAGUAGAGUUUUUGGUGUAAAAACUUUGUUCAAAACAGUUAUUUGGUGAAGGUUACAGAGCUGAUCUGAUCUACUUAACAGCAUGUUCUUCAGACAGUUUAUCUAGCUGAUUGGGGUGUGCAUCGAAAAAGUCUGAUCUGUGCAUACGGCAUCGACUGUGUUUAGCCGAUUGAAGUGUCCUAUAUCAGCUGUGCCUUAGCCGAUACCUGCCUGAGGUGUUAACCUGCGUAUCUACUUGUGCACGCAUCGGCUUGAUUUUUCUUUGGCAAAAGUAGCCGAUAGAGGUGUAGCCGAUCGACGUAUAGUCGAUGAGCGUGUGGUCGAUGGGUGUGUAGCUGACAGGCAUGUAUUUUGCAAACAAGACCCUAGAAAGAAACAGAGACUUGCAUUUGGGUCCCUAAUUGAUUUGAACAGAAGAAGUCCAGCAACGGCGAUUAAAAUUCGGUGAGGAGACUCACCGGUGGUGAGGUUAAGGUGGGGAAAAAGGUUCAGGAGCUCACGGCGGACUUGGGGGUGGCUGGAAUCGUAGAAGGGAAGCUUGGAGGCGGCGGUUCGACUAGAUACAGAGCCGGCGCGGUGAGGUUCCGAGGGCGGCGAUGGUGUUCCGGCGACUGGAGUGCAGGAAGGUGAAGGAAAUUGGUCAGGGAGCUUCGGCGUGGAGAUGUGGUGCUGAUGGUGCCCUUGGCGAAGGAGGAGAAGGGGUGGAACUUUGGUAAAACUAGAAUUAGAACGGCGGCGGAGAGUGAGAUCGCUGGCGCGAUGUUCUGGGCUUGGUGUGCGCGGAAGGAGGAAGAAGAGUGGAUCAGGAAGGGGCAGUCAGAUGCGGUGGUGCUGGUGGAGCACGAAAUUGGAGAGGAGAAGCGGCGGAGACGGUUGACGGCGGUGGACAGAGGAGCUCCGGCGAAGUAGUCGAGCGGAGAAGAGAACAGGAAUGCGGGUGCCCGCGAGGGGAUAGAAGAAAGGAGAAGGUUACUGGGCGCAUUUCCAAGCUAAAAAGAGGUGUGCGGGCGGGCGGCAAGCAGCUGCUGGUGGUCGACGGCGUGCAUGGUGGCUCAGGCAGGCAGCGGCGCGACGCGUUUGCGUGAGGAGGAGCCAGCGGGGUCGGUUAAGCGGCGGGCGGGCGAGCUGGGGCCAGGUGGUGCAGGAAGAGCGGCGAAGGGGCAGCUGGCGGUCGGGGAAAAUGCCGGCGAUGGGUGGUGGGUGGCGCUGCAAAGAAACAGAGAGGGGGAAGCAGGAGGAAGAAGAUGAGGACCUGUUAGUAAAUUUUGCAAAAGUUCAAGGAGUUCAGUCAAAAAUAAAAUUUUAUUCCAAACUAUAGCUCUAAUGAAAAUAUGCCCAAAAUCAAAAGUGUAGAGCUUAAAAAUAUCUACCACUUUGCUUUAGGGUCUAACUUAAGAAGAGUUAGGGUUUUGAAAUUACAUUUAAAAAUCAACAAAUCAUUCAAUUUUAAAUAAAUCCAAAAUAAGUUUUACCCUUUCAAUGAAGCCUUGGAGUAUUUACACUUCUUACAGUGGUUAAAGAGUGAAAACUCAUGUUUGCAAAUUAACCAUUCAUAUUUUUGAAAUUACCUCCCAUUUAUACACAAUUUACAAAAAGAACCCUAAUUUUUCCCAAUAUUACAAAAAUACCCUUUAACGUGUUUUUAAGUUUUUAAAGGCAUUCAUCAAAACAAACACAAACUUCACACUAACAAGCUCAACUUCAUACUAAAAAUUAGCGUGCCUAGCUCCUAAGUACCUGAAAUGUCACAGCCUCUCUCCCUAAAAAGAAUCUCGUCCUGAGAUUCCAGAACAGAAGGGAAUUGAAAGAUUAGAUACUUGGUUUCGCUCUAAGGAAGUCUGGAAAGUUGUGCUGAAGAUAAGACUCAGUUUCCCAAGUCACUUCUUCUUCAGUAUGAUAGUUCCAUUGGAUCUUAAACAUCCUGACUGUCUCUCUUCUUGUGGUUCUCUCUUUAGUAUCCAGUAUUCUGAUCGGAUGUUCAGUAUAAGAUAGGUCUGGCUUGAUUUUGAUGGGUUGGAAAUUGAUGACCUCGGUAGGGAUUUUGAUGCAUUUCUUAAGCUGAGAUACAUGGAAGAUAUUAUGAAUGGCUGCUAGCUGGUAAGGAAGUUGAAGACGUUAAGCUACGGGUCCACAAGUUUCAAGAAUUUCAAAAGGUCCAACGUAUCGAGGAGCGAGUUUUCCUUUCAUACCAAACCGUUGAACACCUCGGGUAGGAGAUAUCCUUAGGUAUACAAAGUCACCAACUUCAAAUUGCAAUGGAAGAUAUUAUUUUGAAUGAUCUUCACUUUUUCUUCUACUUCAGUGACAAGAUCAGGUCCAAAAAUUUUACGUUCGCUGGUUUGAGACCAAUUCAAAGGAGUUCGGCAUCGGCGACCGCAUAAUGCUUCAAAAAGAGCCAUUUUGAGACUCAACUGAUAACUAUUAUUGUAGGAGAAUUCUGCCAAGGCUAAGCAUUUGUCCUAAUUUUUGUCAUAUUGGAUUACACAGGCUCUAAGCAUAUCCUCUAGGAUUUGAUUUAUCCUUUUCGUUUGUCCAUCUAUUUGCAAAUGAUACACGGAGCUUCGAAUUAAUUUUGUUCCAAGAGAGUGUUGGAGUUGCUCCCAGAAACGAGCAAUGAACUGUGCUCCAUGAUCAGAGAUGAUUGUCUUAGGUAUUCCAUGGAGACGAACGAUUUGGUCUAGAUAGAUCUCGGCAUACUUCUUAGCAUUGUAAGUAGUAUGCACGGGAAGGAAAUGGGCGGUUUUGGUUAAUCGAUCAACGGUUACCCAAAUAGAAUCAUGCCUCCGGGAAGUGUUGAGUAAGCCAACGAUGAAAUCCAUGCUGAUAUCUUCCCACUUCCAAGAAGGAAUGGGUAAAGGUUGAAGAAUACCAGCAAUUUUUAAGUGACUGGCUUUAACUCUUUGGCAAAUAUCACACUCAGAGACAUAUCUUGUAAUUUCUCUUUUCAUGCGAGUCUACCAAAAGUUUUGUCUCAGGUCUUGGUACAUUUUGGUACCGCUAGGGUGCAUAGAGAACUUGAAUAGAUGUGCCUCAUCUAAAAUCUGCUUACGAAGCUGAUGGUCCUUGGGUACAACAAUACGUCCCUUGAACCAUAGAAUUCCUUUGUGAUCUACUUGAAAACACUUAUACUUUUCUUCUCCCGAGCUAGCUGUUGUUUGAUGAUUUUGACUCCUUCAUCAUGUAGUUGUGCCCUAAUAAUACUAUUUUGAAGUGUGGGUUCAACUGCUAUAUGAUUCAAACUACCUUGAGGAAUAAUCUCAAGAUUAAGCUUUCUCAUUUCCUAGCAGAGAGUUUCACUGAUGCUUCUAUUGAUAAGCAAUGGCAACGCGCUUUGCAGCUGAGUGCAUCCGCAACCACAUUGGCUUUGCCUGGAUGAUAGUGCACUUCCAGAUCAUAAUCUUUUAUAAGCUCUAGCCAACGUCUUUGUCUCAUAUUUAGAUCUGCCUGUGUAAAAAUAUACUUGAGACUCUUAUGGUCAGUGUAAAUGUUACACUUAGUACCCAUAAGAUAGUGUCUCCAGAUCUUAAGCGCAUGGAUAACGGCUGCAAGCUCAAGAUCAUGGGUAGGAUAGUUCUAUUCAUGAGUCCUAAGUGCUCGUGAGGCAUAAGCAAUUACUCGGUUGUUUUGCAUGAGUACACAACCAAGUCCGAUGCCCAACGCAUCGCAAUAGAUAUCAAAUGGUUUGGAAUUAUCUGGCUGAGCCAAAACUAGAGCAGUAGUGAGGUGUGCUCUUAGAGUGUGGAAUGCCUCUUCACAUUUCUCAUUCCAGGAGAAUUUAACUCCUUUCUUCAGCAAUUCUGUCAUUGGCUUGGCUAUUUUAGUGAAGCCUGGGAUGAAACGAUGGUAAUAGCCAGCAAGACCAAGAAAACUACGGAUCUGAUGGACUGAAGUAGGGGGCUUCCAAUCCAUCACUUCCUAAACUUUACUUGGAUCAAUAGAUAUACCGUCAUUGGAGAUGGUGUGACCCAAAAAUUUAACUGUAUCUAGCCAAAAUUCACAUUUGGAGAAUUUGGCAUACAAGUGGUGUUCUCACAAUCUCUAAAGAAUAAUAUAAAGAUGUCUAGCUUGAUCUUCUAGAUUUUUGGAAUAGAUCAGAAUAUCCUUGAUGAAUACUACGACGAAUUUAUCAAGCUCUGGCAUAAAGACAGAGUUCAUGAGAUACAUGAAAUAUGCUGGGGCGUUGGUAAGGUCAAAAUACAUAACUAGAUAUUCAUAAAAUCCAUAUCUGGUGGAGAAUGCUAUCUUUGGGAUGUCGCUGGGCUUAAUCUUUAUCUUGUGAUAUCCAGAGCAAAGGUCAAUUUUGGAGAAUACCUUGGAUCCAGCUAAUUGAUCGAACAAGAUGUCAAUACGGGGAAGAGGAUAUUUGUUUUUGAUGGUUACUGUAUUGAGGGGGCGAUAGUCCACAUAUAGUCUGAGUCUAUGGUCCUUUUUCUUUACAAACAAAGCUGGGCAUCCCCAUGGUGAAGCACUUGGAUGAAUAAAACCUUUAUCAAGAUGGUCCUAAAGUUGAACUUUUAAUUCUGCCAGCUCAUUGGGUGGCAUACGAUAGAGUCUUUUAGAGAUGGGGGCUGUACCGGGUUGUAACUCUAUAAUAAACUCAAUAUCCCUAUCAGAAGGCAUCCAGGGCAAAUCAUCUAGAAAAACAUCUGGGUAAUCACAUACGACAGGGAUGUCCUCAAGCUUGAUCCCUUCUAUGGUAUAAACGCAAGAAUCGAUAUAUUUCCACUGUGGAAGAUAUAGAAUAGUAGCCUUGUAAUCAGGUGAGUCUAUCUCAACCGCUCAGGAAGAGAUAUCUAAUGAUAUGGUGCCUAGUUAUCUAAUCCAUACCUAGUAGGAUAUCCAUUCCUUCUAGGUUUAGCAAAAUUAAAUCUGUCUUUAUCAGGUUGCUACCCAUUUGAAUUGGCACAUCUCUACAGAUUUGAUUUGAAGCAAUUUUACCGCCAGGAGUCACUAUCAUAUAUGUUCCUUUAGUAUGAUAGAAAUCCAAGCCUACUUUUGUUCCAAAUGUUGGACUGAUAAAGCUAUAGGUUGCACCAGAAUCAAAAAGUAUAACUGCAAGUUGAUGGUGUAUAGUGAAAGUACCCAUCAUUAUUGGUGCACCCUCAGAAAGUUUGGAGAGAGUUGUGAAAUUCACCCUCCCUUGGCGGACUUGUAUAGUUUGCUUCUUGUCUCUACCCUUGCUGCUCGGGUUGGAAGUCUGCCCUUGGAAUGAUUUCCUAGGUUGAGGACAAUUUUUGGUAAAAUGCGAUGAACUGCCGCAAUUGAAACAAUGAUUGUUGUUGUUUCCCUGGUUGAACUGCGGAAAGUUCGGCCUUAGUCCAAGCUGUUGCUGCUGAUGUUGAGGCUGAGGCACUGGUGGCCUGUUGAAUCUAGACUGCUGAGGGGAUCUAGCUACCCAUCUGCCUGAUAGAUUGUUCCAGGGUGGGGCUCGUGGAGAUGUAUUCUGGACUAACCGAUACCUCGGGGGUUGAGCACUCGAGGGUCCAGUGGGUAUCUUCCGCUUCUUCUCAGCCCAAUGGGCUGAAACACAAUCUUCCUGAGUAAUUGCCAUGUUGACUAGCUCAUUGAAGGUGUCUGUCUUAACAAGAUUCAGUCGUUCCUUAAGCUUGGUGUUCAGGCCACGACGGAAACGAUCUCGCUUCUUGGCAUCGGUGUUUGCAUGAUAACCUGCAUAUUGACACAGAUAAUUGAAGGCCCGUGCGUACUGCAUUACGGUGCGGGUUCCCUGGGUAAGAGCUAAAAAUUCAUUGAGCUUCCACUCAAUGAGCCCUUCAGGAAUAUGAUGCGCCCUAAAGGUGGUCCGAAACUCUUCCCAUGUGACUACAUGUCCAUCUGGCUGCAUGGCAUAAUAAUGAUCCCGCCAAAUGCGAGCAAUGCCAUGAAGCUGCUGUGCUGCAAAGAUUGCCUUGUUUGCUUCGGAGCAUGGUGUGGAUAGUAGUGCGAAUUUCAACUCAAUAUUGCGGAGCCACGCAUCCGCAUCAAGAGGCUCUUCGAUCUUAUGAAAAAGUGGAGGCUGUGUGCUAAAGAAAUCUUGGUAACUAGCAGAGGGAUGUUCAUCACGACCUCAUUGCUGAUGAUGGAACUGGUUCUGCUGUGCCUGCACUAGCUGAUCAAGGAGUUCAGUCUGUCAUGCCAUUACUUCUGCUAGAUUUGGUGGUGGUGGCGGCGGUUGUUGGGAACCGCUAGCCUGGUCCAUCCUGAAACCUUCAGGGGUUCCACGCGUAGCGCCAACCAUCUGAAGAAUGGAAGAUGUCCAUUAGAAAUCACCAAUACUUGCUUCCAUUUUCAGGAAUAUACCGCACAAAAAUAAAAUAUAUGGAAAUAGUGCAACAGAGAGAUAGCUCAAUAGAUAACUGGACAGGAAACUUAGGCUAUAGAUCAUAAACUGAUGGUCAUUACUAUGUUACAUCGCGGUAGUCUACUAACUACAAAUCAAGCCAUGCCUACACAUGUCACAUAUAAUACAACAAGUGGCCCUUAGGUCAAACAAGACUGCUCUCUCCCUAUAUCACACUAUACUACACUAAGUACAUCUAGAAGGUUGAUGAUUUGGAAAAGACUAGAAAUCGUCGAGGUUGCCCACAGACGACUGGCUGCUAGAAGAAGAACGAUUGGGCUGAGGAUUAGGUUCGGGAUCUCCAUGCUCGGAAUCAAGAUCGGAAACUCCUUCAAUCUCUUUCGGGUCUUCUUCUUCAUCUUCACUUUCAGACUCUUCAGGUGUGACAGGAGGUACUGGCUGCUCAUGAAGCAUAUCGAUAUGGGCGAUGGCGUCGUCAAGCUCAAGACUAAGGUCAUGGACUUGCUCUUGGAGAAACUCGAUGACAGUGUUGUGCUGAAUGAUUAAUGUAUCACUCUCAAUGAUCUGAUCCUCUCGGUGAGUGAUGGUUUCGUCCCGCUGUGCGAUAACCUCAUCUUUAGCAGUGAUUGUGGCUUGGAGCUCUUCAAUUUGAGUAAUCUGCUGGUUAAUAUUUCUUUGAUAACCUUGAGCUAUACUGGUCAUUUGGCUCAUACCGUGGCGCUGAAGUAUCUGAUGACGAUAUUGUGCAUUCAUAAACCUGACGGUAGCACGUAGGGUCUCUUCUGUCAAAUCUCCCAAUAAGUGUCCAAAAUGGGAUACUCGAAAAGUCCACUCCGGGUCACGAGAAUCUACUGCAGGGAACAAACCAAUAGGAUACCUGGCAACUUCAUCUGGAUGCUGGUCACAGAAAAUGUUGAUGGCUUCAAGAGCUGCAUCUUCAAAAGUGUCUGCUAGACGGUGACCAACCAUAUCAAUCUCAAUGGGCUGCCACAGGGAUCGCGAUGAAUGCGGGGGAAUAGUCAUCUUCACUCUGCACCGAGGAACACCAUCUUCACUAUACUCCACUCCAUCAUAUUGCGGUGGCUCGGUGUAGCUAAACAACUGAAGUGACUCCCACAAGAGACAUGGAAAACCCUCCCAAUGCAAGGCAUUGGUGUGAGCAUGUCCCUCAUGGUCCCAAAAGAUCUUUAGAAAAUCUGCCAUCUAAAGCAAAGAUUCAAAUGGUAAGGUUGCAAGUUUUCAAGAAAAAUGCUUUGAGAAAACUACGGGAAAAAUGUGAGUCAGACUCAUGGAAUAGCUAGGAUGCAACUACCCUGUUGAGAACUCACAAGAUAAAUGGAACGAGACAACCGAUUCUGGUAGUAGCAAAGGCUAGAAAUCAGAUAGAUGAUAUAGAUCUUGAGGAUGAAACAAAAGAUGCCGAGAUACUAAACCCUAAGGUUGUCUGUAUGACCAUUUCAAAACUGCACCUAUGAUAAGCAACACUCUAGAUAGCCUUAAAACAACAAGCCAUUAAUUCAUUCACUUUGUUUAAUCAUGAAGUAUGCAUGCACGUACUACUUGUCCUCACAACCAAAAACAAUUGCCAAAUUUUUUUGAACUUACGUGGUUAGUUUCAGUAGCAUAGUAUAUAUACGUCUCUUCCUAUAAUAGCUAGUCGAGAGAUCCUAUUUGUUUAGAGCCUAUCGAGUUGGGGUUAGCGUACCUACAGAAAAAUCAUAUAUAUCAUGAACCUUUCAUGCCAGCACGUCAUGAAAGCGUUCCCAAAAUUACUGUUCACUUAUAGAAAUAGCAUCUGUACAAUUCUCGCUGUACAGACGAUGUUAACAUAUGUUACUUGUGACAGUUCAUGUAUUUUUAACGUUAGAUAUAUAUUUUGUUAGUGUAAAAUAUGUGUUUGUUAGUAUAAAGCUUGUGUGUGUUUGUGUGAAACUUUUGAAAAUUUAAAAGUGCAAGUAAAAAGGGUAUUUUUGUAAUUAUAGAAAAACCUAGGGUUGUUUUUGUAAAAUGUAUUGGAUAAGGGUAAUUUCAAAAUAAGUGAAAGGUGGUUUUGUAAAUAUGUUUUUCUUACUUUAUUCCCUGUAAAAAAUAUAUAUUUAUUCGAAAGUUGUAUUUGAAAUGUGGGUGUUGAAGUGUGUAAAAAAUUUUGGGUAAAGUGGUAAGAAUAAGGGUAUUUAUGUAAUUUUAUAAAAGUACAAGUCCUUUUACGCAAGUAUUUGAUUUACAAAAGUAACUUUUAAAUUUACUCAGGACUAAAGUGUAAAAGUGCAAGUCAUCAUGACAUGUCUAUCCAAUCAUUAUGAUAAGUCUAUCCCGUCAUUAUGACGUGUCAUAAAUGCUUGCAUUUAAGUCCUGAAUUUUAUAAAGUUUCGCCCUUUAGGACAAAAGCAAUUCAAAUCCGACUUUUGUUCAAAGAUUUACAUGUAAAAAUAUAAAUUUUGAGUUUUUGAACUUGGGCCCUAAAGCAAUGUUGUAGAGUUUGAAAAACUCUCCAACUUUCAUUUUGGGCAUUUCUUCAUUAGGGUUUUAAAUCGAUAGGAAAUUUUACUUUACAAACAGGUCCCUGCAGUUUUCUGAUUUUACAUAUAAGCCCUUGAGGAAAUUCAACUGUCUUUCUUCUCUCUUCUACCUUAUCCUGGCGCCUACCUUCUUCUUUAUCCCCAACCGGCAGCACUGUCCAAUCCCGUUUUCCCCUCUCUUUUCUCCAUUGGUGUUCCCCUGCCUUCCUCUCUCUCUCCUCCAACCAGGCAAGGCGGCGUGGGGGCUUGGCUCUGGGCGAGCACGGCCCCAGGCGGCGCAGCACGUGGGGCCAGCCCGAGUGGCGGGUGGCUCCCAGGCGCGGCCGGGCGCUCUGCAGGCGGCGCAUGCGGCCCAGGCGAAGGCCGGCGGCACAGGCGAAGCGCACAGGGAGGCGGCAGGCGCUGCGCAGGGCGAGGCCCAGGCGAGGGCGAGCGCGGCCCCAGGCCAGGCGGAGGCGCGCAGGGCUGGGCGCAUGCGGCAGUGCGCAGGGCCGAGCGGGUGCGGUACUGGCGCUGGGCGGCAGAGCUGGUCGGUCAGAGCGCGGGCGACGUGCGGGUGCUUGCGGCGCGGCAGCAGGCGGUUGUGGCGCAUGGGAGCGAGUGGCUCUGCGGGUGGCGCUGGAGGCCGGUGCACGGCGGGCGCGGGAGCUGGGCUUGGCGGCGCGCAUGAGCUAGCGGCACAGGAGUGGAUCCAGGCGUGGAGACGCACGGGAGCGAGCAGAGGCGCGAACGCGGAGCGAGCAGGAGCAACUGGCGACGAUGUGCAGGGAAGUUGCGUGCGCGAGGGUGACGUGCGGGAGCCGAGCGCAGGAGCAACUGGCGACGAUGUGCAGGGAAGUUGCGUGCGCGAGGGUGACGUGCGGGAGCCGAGCGCAGGAGCGAAGCUGACGGCUUCAGGCGAACAGACGGCGCUAGCUCGCGGGCGUUGGGCGAACAGGAGCUGGAGCGCAGCGCAGUGGAAGCAGCCCGUCGGUUCGGGAGUGGCGCGGAUAGGAGCGAAGGCUGGUGAUGCGGACGCACGGAUCGAGUAGCACGUGCGCGGCGAAGCAAAGUGGGCGCUGUUGCGUGGAUGCGCGGGAAUGACACGGCAAGGCUGGAGCAAGCACGGCGUAGAUGUAGGUGGCGUGGGCAUGUGAGUGCAGGAGCAGGACUCGAGCGGAGAUGGAAGGCCUGGAGCGAGCAAUGAAGUGCAGGGCGGUUUCAGACGCGAGAGCAGCAGCGCGAUACGGGCCAAGGACGCGCGCGGCUCGGACAUGUGCAGAUGUAACGCGGCGAGGCCGAAGCGAGCGGGUGACCAACAGCGGAAGAAGGAGGAAGAUCUAUGCAGGGCAACAACGUACAAAGCGGCGGCGCGCAACGCAUGACGGAGUUCCCACUGGGUGAGCUCAGGCCGCGAUCGAGCUGGUGUGCAGGAGGGUCGCGCGUGAUGGACAUUAGAGACCGUCGAGGAAAACACAGCGGAAGGCACGGUCCUAAUACAGGUUGACCACAGUCCUCGCGGAGGCAGAAAGGGCGAGUGUGGCGUAGCGAAGCAAAAGUGAAGGUUCGUACGGAUCUGGACUAGUACGUCCGCGGAUACGAGCGAGAGUGUUCUACUAGUGGCCGGCUCAACUCAAUUCAGCAAGCGCGUGCGUGUACAAGACAACAAGCCAUCUUCCACCCACGACAACCCUCCCCGACAAACUUCUUUGUCAUCCACGGGAUCUCAUCAUCGUCGAGCUUUUCUCUUCGCCGAUCCUGUUCGCCACGGGAAUCCACUUUUUACCCGUUCUUCCUCCACAUCUGAAACUACCCCAAGGUUUGCCCUAGUUCACUGAAUCUUCUUAAUGCCGGCGACUCCUUUGCCGGAAUAUCGUUGUUAUCUUCCUGUUAUCUAUUUUCCCGGACCAGGGACUUGACUGCCAUGUUUUAGAAAAUUCUACGGUGUUCUUUGUAAUAUUUCCAAAGCUUUUUGUAUUUCAAAUCGAUGAACUUCUACCUUUCAUAGAUUUUCGUAGGAAGUUCAUAAAAAUGUAAAAUCAGUUUUGUUUGAAACACUAAGUCAAGCUCUACAAGUUUUACGUCGCGAUCUUGAAUUGAAGUCUUUGAUGUGUGGUCUAGGUCAUAUGUUAGGAAAUGAAUAUUUAAUUGUGCUUUAUAUUGAAUGCUUGUAUUAUAGCUGAAAAGUAAGCCAUAGAAUGUAUGUCUUAAAUAGAAAUGUGUGAUAUCUAACUAAUCCUUUCCCACGAAGUGCUCAUAUCCCUACCCUCAAGACAUUGCUCUCGUCUUGAUUGCAAUCUCCUUAAGGCCCUUUUCGUAUAAGAAUCUUUGAUUAGUUCAUGUGCAUCUGCUGCUUAGCUACUACAUCUCGGCAGCUGUGCUUCAGUGUCAAGCUAUCAGCUCAGCCGCUAAGCAUCUGUUUCCUUUGAGUUUAGAAUACUUCUGUGUAACAGUUAUCAGCCGAUGCAUUUCUUUUGAUAUGCUUCUACCAUCGGCUGGUUGACUGAAACGGUUGUUACCUUUCUAGUAUCGGCUACUGCCCAUAACAUUCUGUUGUUCCGUCCUACAUCGGCUAUCACAUAGCCGAUCAAUUUAAGGUGCACACACGAUCUUAGGGUUCUUGCUAUCGACCGAUCCAAGCCAAUUCUAGUCGUUUUCCGUAUCGGUUAAAUAUGGCCGAUCAAUCCUUAGUUUCCCCAUCCUUAUCCACACACUUCUAUCAGUCGAUUUAUCAACUGAGAGGUCGGCUAUAUACUUAUCGGUCACAUACCCUCAACCACACUCCAAUCGGCUAUACGUCACUCAACAGUUAUGCUGACGUAAUCGAGUCGAUACAAUCACACUUAGUUACCUAGAAUAACACUUAAGCACAUCUUAGUUAAGACAACUGCUUUAGAAAUAUCCCUCUGCUGAAGUAAUCAAUGCUUCCAUCGAUCAUCUAAGAACCCGAUGCACACAUCAAUCGGCUAAACCUUUGUUGUUUCCAAUCAGCUCCAUUGUGACCCUCAACAAGUAGCCGAUUCUAAUUAGUUAUCCCUCUAAAGCUCUAUCUAAGUUUAGUUUUAGAUCUUUUUGGGUGUAAUGUGAAUUAUGUGUUAUAUGAGUGUUGAAUUGCAAUUGUAUUGUAAAGUAAGAUAGUUUCACAUGCACGUUUUGAAUGUAAUGUCGCAUUGCAUGUAGAUACAAUUACUUCGGCAACGGUAUCUACGAGAUCUCCCCGGAGUCUACGGAGGAUGUUCCUGAAGUUCAAGUAAACGUCACCAAGGGAUUAACUGAAGCCCCGAACCAAAGUUCGGAAGAUAUUGACAUUUCUGACUUCAGCCCCACCAGUAAAGGCAAGCCCCGGACAUAUCCCACUACUUUAUUUACUCUGCAAUAUAUGUCUAUCUAUAUUAUAUCUUGCAUCAAGUCUUGGAAUUGAAGUGAAACCCUAGAUGCAUGAAUCCUAGGAAUCCAAUGUAAUGCUCCUGAGUCCUUAUCGGAUAGAUGCUCCGCUAAUAGGACCGAUAGAAGUCGGGUGAUUUCCUGUCACUCGCGCGAUAUAGGAGUUGCUUGUUUACAAUUCUGCAACCACUAUAAGGAUGACGGACAGGGUCAUGUGCUGUAUCAUGACCUUGAAGUUUACCCUGUCUGUUUCGUUAAAAGUUGAUAAGGUCGAUAUGUGUGGUAGUGGUGGCUAAGCGUUUGAACAGUACUAGCCAUAUGCCGCAAAAUAUGGUAAAGCGGUAAGCCUAGUAACCAAUCGGCCCGGUAAGUGGACAUACCUCCCACCACUCGAUCUUUAUGUUAUGUUCACACGCACCGACCUGUGGGAGUACGUUCUGCAUGGCAGACAGGAAUACGGGUUUUGUAGUCGCGCUACAGACGUAUGUCCUGCACGAGUGAUGUCCGUACGGUCCUACAAGUCGCUUAUGGUGGCCUGUCCACGAGUCGGAAUGAAAGGUAUACGGUUGCUUCGGAACACCCGGUUGGUGUUCCAAGCGUGUGUGUUAGGUUUACCUUGCAAGGUUGAAUUUCGAUUCAGGAAUCGUCCGCCUCUCACGAUGCAUGAGACUGCUUAUCCCUUUUACCACAUUGAGUAAGAAGUGUAACAAAUGAUGGAUAAUCUUGAUGGAUGAUAAUCACCACCUUACUUGCUUAGUGUAGGUGCUAAUCUAGAAUAAAUACUCAACUAGAAUCUGAAAGCUAAAAUUUGAAAGUAGUUAUACUCUUUGUUGCUUUUCAGCUGAAAAUAAACUCAGAGCCCCAUAUGAUACCUUCAUGAGACUAGUUAUGGGCUAAAGUAUACCCAAUCCCGGGUAAGCCUUGCUGAGUAUUAGAAUACUCAGCCUUGCUAGUUUUAUGUUUUUCAGGUAAAGCCUUUGAAGAUCCUACUCUUCCCCUGUCUUGGCCCUGUGCUCUUCCAGAUGGUUGGUCCGUGGAAUGGGAUCCGUCCCCGGCCAACAUUGAUGAAACCGAGUGAUGUCGUGCCCGGGCUUAGCAUGACAUCCAUCUUGACGGCGUGUUGUGAAUCGUCGCGUAUGUUUUCCGCUGCUAAAAACCAUAACUUUAACAGUUUGUAAUGUUUUCUCUAAAUUUGAAACUUUGCACUAUUGUUGGAAACUCUUGUAACGUAAUUCUCUGUGAUGUAAAAUAUGGUGGUGACUGUAUCUCUGGACUCACCUUCGUGUGAGGUAACCUUAUUGAUCCUGUGUUCGGUGGUUUAUCGGGACGUUACCCGACAGGCCAAGGGAUUAUACCGUUUGAAGCACGUUGGAGCCCUCGGGAAUGUACUCACAUACUUGAGCCGGUAUAAUUCAGGUUGGUUCUGCCACAUUACUUUCGCAACGUAUUCACAGGAUACCGUAUAAAAUAGGGGUAUGAACAGCGAUCACCAUACCUCUUGCCUAACCAUAUACUCCCAAUAUAAUCAACUUAUCGUUGGUAUAUUGGCAGCAUCUCAAGUAAGCCACUGCUUGAGAAUCAGCGUUCAGUUCGCAUCACCGACGGGAAGGCCAAGCUCUCUCAGUUGGCUGAGGAUCCUUACCCGCUUAUCUCAUCAUCGAAUGCGUCGUUACAGAAUAUAAAAUUGAUUGUGCUCGAAAGUAAGUUUUUACAGAAAUGUAGUGCUGGAAGUUAGAGUAGUACUAUAAGCGUACUGUGUAUAUAUAUUAGUAGCUACCUAAUAAUUCCCAUAUAAACCCCUAAGGCUUUAUGUACUAAGCACAAUUCUUAACGAAACCAACGUAAUAUAUUUUUUUACAAAAUACUUUGUUGGUCCAAUUUUAUUCUAAAAAUAUUUUUACGGUCAAUCAUAUCUCCGGUGUACACUUGUUAGCUCUGAUACCAGACUGUGGCAGAACCGCUUGAAUUAUUCCGGCUCAAGUGCGCAGAUCAUUGCUAUACAGGCGAUAUGACCUCAACGCGCUUCAAACGGAAUAACCCAAUGGUCUGUCGGGUAACAUCCCGAUGAAACCAACGGAUUCCGGAUCGUUCAAGCGUACCUCGCAUGAAGGCGAGUCCAGAGAUACAAUCACUAUUACAUUUUUACAACAUAGUCAUAGUAGUUAUUACAAACCGGUUUCUAGUAGAGUACUGCAAUCCUAACUGAAACAAAUUUAUACAGACAUUGUUUGAAAACAUCAAGUUUCAACAAAAAUUAUUCCGAGAUGGCAGCGGAAAAGAUACAACAACACGACUACUCGUCGCAAAGAAGGCACCAUACUUAGCCCAAAGCAUGGCGUCAUUCCGAAGGGUCAUUGCCGGCCGGGGACGGAUCCCAUUCCAUGUACCAGCCAGGCGGUAAAGUGCAGGGCCAAGGAGAACUAGCAACUGAGUCCUCGAAUGACAUACCUGAAAACCACAUUACUAGCAAGGCUGAGUAUGCUAAUACUCAGCAAGACUUACCCGUCAAUUGGGUAUACUUAGCCCAUAACUAGACCAUGAGAUGUUGAAAGGCUCUAGGUUUCUUUUGUUGAAAAACAACAAAGAGUAUAUCCUUAUUUCUAUAUUUUAGCUUUCAGAUUCUAGUUCAAUUAGCCAUUCUAAGUGAGCAUCUAUACUAGACAAGCAAGUUAGGUAUUAAAUCAUAUAUCAAUAUUAUUCCACCAACUAUUGCUCUUAUUACUCUAUAUGGCAGAAGUAUCAAGCAGUCUCACUCACCGCGAGAAACGGACGAUUCCUGAAUCGAAUUUCUUAACCUUGCAAGAGAUUGUAACUCACACGCUCGGAAACUUUCCUUUCCGGGCAACCAUUCCCCUCACAUUCCGGGUCGUGGAUCAGCGCCACCACAAGCGACUGCAGGACCAUACGCACAUCCAAUAUGUAGGACGUACGUCUACAGCGCGACUGUAUGACCGUACUCCCAUCUGCUAUGCAGAACGUACUCCCACACGUUGGUGCAUGUUUACAUAAACCAAAAUUCGAGUGGUGGGGGAUAUGUCCACUUGCCGGGCCAAUCAGGUACUAGUCUUACCGCGUACCAUAUUUACGUUAUGUGGCUAGUAUUUUCAAACACUUGACCACCACUACCACACACUGCGGCCUUAUCAAAUUGAUCAACACAGACGGGGUACCAUCCCAUGUUAUGGUACUACACAUAACCCCAUCCGUGAUCGUUAUAGUGAUUGCAAAAUAGUAAAUAAUCAAUUCCUAUAUCGCGCAAGUGACAGGAAAUCACUCGACUUCUGCCGGUCCUAUUAGCAAAGCAUCUACUUGAUAAGGACUCGAAAACAUUACAUAGGUUCCUAGGUUUCAUGCAACUAGGGUUUUAUAACAACUCCUAGCACUUAAUGCACAAGAUAGAUAAAUAACAAUAUAAGUGCAUAAUUUUAAAUCACUGGGUUAUGCACUGGGGCUUGCCUUCACUGGUGAGGCUGGGGUCAGUGAUGUCAGUAUCUUCUGAACAUGGGUUUGGGGCUUCAGAAAGACCCUUGGCGACAUUUACUUGAGCUUCAGAAAUACCCUCGUCGGGUUCCGGGAUUAGCUCGUUGGUACCGUUGGCGAGUGUAGUCAAAUCUACAUGAUAUUCAAUUAUUUGAAGCAAAUGGUUAUUAUUUUGUUUUCAUGAUAAAGUUGCAAUCCAACAAGAAUAUAUUCAAUAUAUCACUUCAAGACUUAACUAAUUUGUACAAACAACAAAAAGAUUUGAAACUAAACUUAAGUAGAGUUUCUGGUGUAAAAACUUUGUUCAAAAUGGUUAUUUGGUGAAGGUUACAGAGCUGAUCUGAUCUACUUAACAGCAUGUUCUUCAGACAGUUUAUCUAGCUGAUUGGGGUGUGCAUCGGAAAAGUCAAUCUGUGCAUACUGGAUCGACUGUGUUUAGCCGAUUGAUGUGUCCUAUAUCGGCUGUGCCUUAGCCGAUACCUGCCUGAGGUGUUAACCUGGGUAACUAUUUCUGCAUGCAUCGGCUUGAUUUUUCUUUGGCAAAAGUAGCCGAUAGAGGUGUAGCCGAUCGAUGUGUAGUCGAUGAGCGUGUGGCCGAUGGGUGUGUAGCUGACGGGCGUGUAUGUUGCAAACAAGACCCUAGAAAGAAAUAGAGACUUGCAUUUGGGUCCCUAAUUGAUUUGAACAGAAGAAGUCGAGCGGCGGCAAUUAAAAUCCGGUGAGGGGACUCACCGGCGGUGAAGGAAAGGUGGGGAAAAAGGUUCAGGAGCUCACAGCGGACUUAGGGUUGGCUGGAAUCAUAGAAGGGAAGCUCGGAGGCGGAGGUUCGACUAGAUAUAGAGCCGGCGCGGUGAGGUUCCGAGGGUGGCGACGGUGUUCCGGCGAUUGGAGUGCAGGAAGGUGAAGGAAAUUGGUCAGGGAGCUUUGGCGUGGAGAUGUGGUGCUGAUGGUGCCCUUGGCGAAGGAGAAGGGGUGGAACUUCGGUUCGACUAGAAUUAGAACGGCGUCAGAAAGUGAGAUCGCAGGCGUGAUGUUCUCGGCUGCGCGUGCGUGGGAGGAGGAAGAAGAGUGGAUCAGGAUGGGGCAAUGAGAUGCGACGGUGCCAGUGGAGCACGAAAUUGGAGAGGAGAAGCGGCAGAGACGGCUGACGGCGGUGGACAGAGGAGCUCCGGCGAAGUAGUCGAGUGGAGAAGAGAACAGGAAUGCGGGUGCCCGCGAGGGGAUAGAAGAAAGGAUAAGUUUACUGGGUGCGUUCCCAAGCUAAAAAGAGGUGUGCGGGUGGGCAGCAAGCAGCUGCUGGUGGUCGACGGCGCGCGUGCCGGCUCAGGCAGGCAGCGCCGCGACGCAUCUGCGCGAGGAGGAGCCAGCGGGGUCGGUUAAGCGGCGGGCGGGCGAGCUGGGGCCAGGUGGCGCAGGAGGAGCGGCGAAGGGGCAGCUAGUGGCUGGGGAAAACGCCCGCGAUGGGCGGUGGGCGGCGCUGCAGAGAAACAGAGAGGGCGAAGCAGGAGGAAGAAGAUGAGGAUCUGUUCGUAAAUUUUGCAAAAGUUCAAGGAGCUCACUGAAAAAUAAAAUUUUCUUCCAAAUUAUAGCGCUAAUGAAAAUAUGCCCAACAUCAAAAGUGUAGAGCUUAAGAAGAUCUACCACUUUGCUUUAGGGUCUAACUUAAAAAGAGUUAGGGUUUUGAAACUACUUUUAAAAAUCAACAACUCAUUCAAUUUCAAAUAAAUCCAAAAUAAGUUUUACCCUUUCAAUGAAGCCUUGGAGUAUUUACACUUCUUACAGUGGUUAAAGAGUGAAAACUCAUAUUUGCAAAUUAACCCUUCAUAUUUUUGAAAUUACCUCCCAUUUAUACACAAUUUAAAAAAGAACCCUAAUUUUUCCCAAUAUUACAAAAAUACCCUUUAACAUGUUUUUAAGUUCUUAAAGGCAUUCAUCGAAACAAACACAAACUUCACACUAACAAGCUCAACUUCAUACUAAAAAUUAGCAUGCCUAGCUCCUAAGUACCUGAAAUGUCACAACCGGCAUCCAGCUUAGGCAACAGGCCGAUGACAGAUAUCUUUCUUACAAAUUCCCCUCCAACAUCCCUCAAUGGAAAAACCACUGGUUUUACAUCGGGAACCAUGUCCCCCAACUCCCUGAAACGACGGGUAAACCCCCGGUCCUGCGGCCGGAGUGAAAUAUCGAGCUCGCCAAGGUUGACAUGGACCAAGUCAAUGAAUUGCUAGCGCUCAUAGCAGCCUAUAAGGAGAUAGGGGUGACCGGCGCGUCAGUAAUGUUUUCAUUCUUCAAAUGCCGAAUCCAACCAAUCCAGCACGCCAUACGCUAGGCUUCGAGUACAUCGGUGCUUGAGACCUAUCUCGGAUGUGCACAGAGGAGUUGACCGAUGAUGCCACGCUCAUCCGAGUCAAGCUGUUGAAUGUCAACACGUUGCCCUACGUCCCAGAGCUGUUCUCAGCACAAAAUCCUCCAGAACCGGUAAAGUUUCGACUACUUGAAGGAAUUUCUGUUGUUCUGGAACUUCCACUGACUGAAAAUCCUCUGCAGGGACACACGGCAUUGUACCGGAGUUAUCUUCCACAAGCCGACAUCCCCCAGCCAUACCACCUUCUUCCCAGCGCCGCAGCUGAAGCAAAAAAGGCUCAAUCUUCUGACGAUUAGCCUAGCGGUGAGACGACUGAAAGGGAAAACCCCCUAGCAGAGAAAACAACUGAUGGAAAGGCGAACAAGAACAACUCCCCCGGAUCAUCCGUGGAGUUGGUGGAAGCCUUGCCAUCAGUCCCUCGGGGUCGUCGGGUGGUGCGCAAGCGUAAAGCCAACAUAGUCGAACCCACCAGGUAUGGGGGCCACCGUCUUGUAGAAUUAUCAAGUCUUGUGUGUUGGAUGCUAACUUUGUCUGUGGUGCAGUCCUUCUUCUUCUCCUGCCGACCCCAAGCAUCAAAAGAUGAUCGGGACCGCGUUUGCUGGGAUGAUGUUCCAGUAGGAGGCUCUGCAGAGACUGCUGGGACGGACCCGUUGUUAUCACCAUAAUCUGGAUGGGCCGAAAGUGGGCCAUGGAGCAAGAUGGGCUUGGAAGAUAACUAUAAUAGGCUUGCGAAUUGGACCUUGUAUGGAUGGUUGGGGCCAGAAAGGCCGUGUAAAUAUAGAUAUAGGCAGUUAAGAGUCAUGUCAUGUUUGGUUAGGGUUGGUUAACAAAGACAAGUCUACGGACUAUAAAUAUGUACCAUGAAUAAACAAGAGAGGAAGCAUUCAUCAACAACUCUCGGCGCAUCGCCUCCCCUGUUCUAGGGUUUUCUCGGGUAUGUGCCAUGUGGCCCCGACCACGUUCUGCGUGAUCGGGGCAGCAUCACCCUUACUCAUUCAUUUUAUGUGUUACUCGUUCUGAAGCCUUGUAGAUGGCGAGUAGCGCUGGUUAUCUUAACAUGCAUAGAGUAACAUUAUUUUCUUCCUAUUCCGAUCAUGCUUUGUCUGUUGCUCAUGAGUGUUUGGUGGUCAUCACGUCCGAUCCUGAACGCGAUGGUCAUGUCUUGCUUUAUCCUUAUCAGUAGAUCCAAUCUGUUACGACUAGUUUCUAUUUAUUAGAGAUUUAGCUCAAUAUGUGCAUGAUUAGGCCUUGCAAACGAGUUGAAGGUUCCGGCAGUUUGAUUAGUAUCAAAUCGUGGCUCGAAAAGAGAUUGCUUCAGGAAUCGGCUCUUCGGCUGGUUUUUGGAUCUCUGGUUAGGUUGAUUGUUCCGAUACUUUUGGGUAUUUGUUAGGCUCAAUCACGCGUAGGACGUUCCGAUUGUGCAGUGAGGGCUUAGUUAUUGUGGGUUGGAUUAGAUUGAUAUUUAUGAAGCAAGAUUUAUUUUGUUGUCAAGUAUAUAUAUAUAUAUUGCCUAUUCCAAAGAUCCGAUCCGGUAUUGAUGCAAUCGGCUCUUCAUAGCCGAUACCGGGGAGGAAUGACGAGCCGAUCACGGCUCGGACUAACGUUUACACGUGUCUGUGUGUGGCAGAACCAACCUGAAUUAUACCGGCUCAAGUACGUGAGUCCACUCCUGAGGGCUCCAACAUGCUUCAAACGGUAUAAUCCCUUGGCCUGUCAGGUAGCGUCCCGAUAAACCACCGAUACACAGGAUCAAAUAAGGUUACCUCACACGAAGGUGAGUCCAGAGAUACAGUCACCAUCAUACUUUACAUCACAAGUAAAUACAUUACAAGAGUUUCUAAAAGUAGUGCGAAGUUUCAAAUCUAGAGAAAACAUUACAAAUUGUUUUGGCAGUGAAAAAACAUAUGCGAUGAUUUACAACACGUCGUCAAGACGGAUGUCGUGCUAAGCCCGGGCACGACAUCACUCGGUAUCAUCAGUGCUGGCCGGGGACGGAUCCCAUUCCAUGGACCAACCAUCUGGAAGAUCACAGGGCCAAGACAGGGGAAGAGUAGGAUCUUCAAAGGCUUUACCUGAAAAACAUAAAACUAGCAAGGCUGAGUAUACUAAUACUCAGCAAGGCUUACCGUUUCAAGGUAUACUUAGCCAUGUAACUAGACUUAUGAAGGCUUAUAAGGGUUCUGGGUUUAGUUUCAGCUGAAAAGCAACAAAAGUAGAUCCUUAAUUUCAACUUUUAGCUUUCAGGUUCUAGUUGAUUAUCCAUUCUAGAUAAGCACCUAUAUCUACUCAAGCAAGGUAGAGCUCUUUACAUCAACCAUCAGCAUUACUCAUCAUAUAGUUGCUCUUGUUACUCUGUGUGAUAAAGGGAUCAAGCAGUCUCAAUCUUCGUGAGAAGCGGACGAUUCUAAAUCGAAUUUAACCUUGCAAGGUAAACCUAACUCACACGCUUGGAACACCAAAGGGUCGUUCCGAAGCAACCGUUUGCCUUUCAUUCUGACUCGUGGAUCAGAUCCAUCACAAGCGACUGCAGGACCAUACGCACUUCCAAAGUGCAGGACAUACGUCUGUAGCGCGACUACAAAACCCAUAUUCCUGGUUGCCCUUGCAACACGUAUUCCCACACGUCGAAUCAAGUAACCAAAAGAACCAAAUACAUGUGGUGGGAGGUAUGUCCACUCCUCGGGCCGAUUGGUUACUAGGCUUACCGCUUACCAUAUUUCGCAGCAUGUGGUUAGUACUUUCAAACGCUUAACCCCGAUCGGCACACACCGCGACCUUAUCCAAUUUAUCAACACAGACGGGGUAUCAUUCCUUUCCAUGAUACUGCACAUAACCCCGUCCGUCAUCCUUAUAGUGAUUACAAGAAUGUAAAUAUUACAAUUCCUAUAUCGCGCGAGUGACAGGAAAUCACCCGACUUCUACCGGUCCUAUUAGCAUAGUAGCUAGUCGGACUCAAGUUCUAGUGUUCAGUACAUCGGUUCCUGGAAUUAUGCAACUAGGGUUUCAAGCAAUUCCUAAGAACUUAAUGCAUAGAAUACGUCAAUAUCUUCCGAAUUUUGGUUCGGGGCUUCAGUUAAUCCCUUGGUGAUGUUCACUUGGUCUUCAGGAACAUCCUCUGCAGACUUCUGGGAGAUCUCGUAGGUACCGUUUGCAGAAGUAGUCGUAUCUACAUGCAAUGCAACAUUACAUUCAAGUGUGCACACAAAACUAUUUUACUUCAUAACAAAGUUGCAAUUCAACACUCAUUUAAUAUAUUACUUACAAAACAACCAAAAAGAUCUGAAACUACACUUAGAUAGAACUUUAGGAGGACAACUAAUUAAGAUGGACUAUUUGCUGAAGACUACAGCAGUGUUGAUUGGAAACAACAGGGGUUCAGUCAAUAGAUUUGAUAAAGAAGGGAGUUCUCUAUACAGUUUUAGGAGAUCUGCUGAUUUCUGUUUAGAAGAGAAAUCGGCAUGAGUAAUUUCUGUAUAUAAGCAGAAGAGAUUAACCAAUUUGGUUUCACCUAAGGUUAAAAUGGCUGAUAGAGGUAGGAAUAUUAAAGGUACAGUGCUUCAAGGACAGAAAAAGGAAGGAUUUUGCCGAUUGGAUUAUCAUCAUGUUUUUGCCUAACUGAUGGUUGGUGUAUCGGCUUGCCUUAUUUGACGAGGGUGCAUCAGGUUUAGCCGAUUGAUGUGCUUAGGUCGUGUCUAACAAAGGCGUGUCUACUGUGUUAGUUUACUGAUCUAGGGUUGUGUACUUUGGCCUGUGUAGCUGAUUGAUAGGUGCAUCGGUUUCCUAGUUGAUUGAUGAAAGCAUCGAUUAGUUUAGCAGAGGGAUGAUUCCUAAAGCAGUUGUGUCUUAAUUGAGAUGUGCUUAAGUGUUAUCCUCGGUAACUAGGUGUGGUUGUAUUGAUUCGAUUACGUCAGCACAACUAUUGAGUGAUGUACAGCCGAUUGGAGUGUGGUUGAGGGUAUGUGACCGAUAGAUAUAUAGCCGAUUUCCUAACUGAUAAAUCGACUGAUAGAAGUGUGGAGAUAAAGAUGGGAAAACUAAGGAUUGAUCGACCAUGUUCGAUUGAUAUAGAAGACAACUAGAAUCGGCUUGGAUCAGCCGAUAGCAGAAACCCUAAGAUCGUGUGUGCAUCUCCGAUGCAUCGACUAUGUGUAGCCGAUGUAGGAUGGAAUAAAGGAAUUAUAUCGGCAGUAGCCGACAUAAGCAAGAUAACAACCGUAUCAGCUAACCAGCCGAUGGUAGAAGCAUAUCAAAAGAAAUGUAUCGGCUGACAGCUGUUACACAGAAACAUCAUAGAUUCAAGGAAACGGAUGUUUAACGGCUGAGCUGGUAGCCGUUGCUGAAGCAUAGCUGCAGAGAUGUAUAGGCUAAGCAGCAAAUACACACAAACUAACAAGGAUCCCUAUACGAAAAGGACCUUAAGGAAACGGCAUUCAAAACAAGGACAAAGUCUUGAUGGCAGGGAUAUGAGCACUCGUGUGAUAGGAUUAACUAAAUAUCACACAUCUCCACUUGAGACAUACAUCCUAUGAUUUACCUUUCAGCUACAACACAUGCAUAUCACAUAAGGUACGAACAAAGCAUUCAUUUCCUAAUAUUUAACCUAGACCACACAUCAAAGACUUUCAACUCAAAAUCACAACAUACAACUUGUAGACUUGACCUAAAGGUUCAAACAAAACUGAUUUUGCAUUUUUAUGAACUUCUUACAAAAAUCUAUGAAAUGUAGAAGUUCACUGAUUUGAAAUAAAGAAGGCCCUAGAGAUUUUACAGAAAACACCCUAGAACUUUCUAAAUCGAAGUAAUUAAGUCCCUGGUCAGGGAAAAUAGAGAACAGGAAGAUAACGAUGAUAUUCCGGCAAAGGGGUCGCCGGUAUUAGGAAGAUUUAGUGAAUCAGGGCAAACCUUGGGGUAGCCUUGGUUGUAGAGAAGAAUAGGCGGAAAGUGAAUUGCCGCGGUGAAUAGGAUCGGCGAUGAGAAGUACUCGACGGUGACGAGAUUCCGUGGGUGACGAAGAAGUUUGUCGGGAAUUGCAGUGGGUGAAGAAUGACCGAAGAGGUAUUCCUCACGGUGAUCCGUGGCGACGAUAGUCGGCUUUGCCACGGUAACGAUGUUCUGGCGAAGGGAUCCGAAGAGACUCGAUGGGAGGGUCCAGGAGUUUCUUUGAGGUGCUGUGGUCUUGCUCGGCGAUCGACGAGGGAAAGGAGUUGCUCGAUGUCGUGGACCAUGGAGUAAGACGAUGGAGCUGGAUGGGUUCGCUAUACCGACUUCUUCGCGAACCCCAGGGUUUUCCUGCUCAUGGACUAAGCCUCCACUGCUCACGCGCGUGUGCCGCUGAGACACGGCCGGCACACCCGCGUAGCUUCCUGCAGGACCGCCGCUCCUGAUCGCAUCUCCGGUGCGCCGCUUCUGUUCUGCUCCCACACCAACGGCCCCCAACCUGCAUGCGCGUGGUCGAUUGCCUUGCUUACGCACGCGCCUGCGGAAACGAAUCGAGCCGGCCGUCAGUCCUGCGUCAUGACACAUUCAUCCCCCUCUGUCUCCGCACAAACCGAAGCCCGCUCGCACCGGGGCCAUCUCUAUAUCCUCCACGAGCAACUCGUAGUGCCGCCUGACCUCGUCCGCUGCCUUCACUUUGACGGCUUCCGACGUCCUCCACACGCGGUCCUGCUGCUCCCGUACGGAUCCGCCUGCAGCCGCCGCACUGCAGCUCCUCCCGCACCGCGCGUGACUUCCCUGCACACCGUCGUCCUGCACGCCGCGCAACUACUCCUCCUCUUCCUGCUGCUGGACACGCGCUCGCCCCGGCCUUGCCGCGCCUCAACUCCAUCCGUGCACAUCCGAACCGCGUGCGUUCUCGGCCAGCGUCACGUCUUGUUUACACAGCCUGUGUGCCGCAGCCGCAGCUCCACUAGCACGCGCGCACCAGCACCGCAAGUCUCAAGUCUGCUGCAGUGCCGCCACGCCGGUCCUCUUCUGCUCGCGCGCUGCCACGCCGCGAGCUUCGCUCCAGCGCCGCCUGGCUCGCGUGUCGCUCACGCGUCUGCUCCACGCCUCCCGCAUGCCCGCGCAGCGCUCGCACCAGCCGCUGCAAGCUCCUGUGCCCGCGCGCCUAAGCGCCCCGCCGAGCCGCCGCUACCGCUCGCGCCGCACUAGCCCGCCUGCGGCGCUCCGUCCCUGGGCCCUCCGCGCACACGCCUGCCCAGCGCCCGCGCCUGCUUGCGCCGCAGCCGCCCGCCUGAGCCGCUGCCGCCAGCCGUCCGCCGAGCCACGCGCUCCGCUCGCCUGCUCCUGUCCAGCUCCCGCGCUCGCCUGGCCCCGAGCACCCGCCAGCUCCACGCCCACCUGUGCCGCGCCUGCUGCGGCCCACGCGCCCGAGCCGCACGCUCCGCUCGCCCGCACUGCUCCGUGCCGCGCCCGCCUAGCACCAGCGCCACGCGCCCACUCACGCUCGCCCGGCGCCUGCUCCGUGCCGCUCCCGCCUAGCACCAGCGCCGGGCCCACACGCCGCCAGCCGAGCCGCUAGCGCCCGCUCCUCCCGCGGCCGGCCCAGCUGCGUGCGCCAGCGCCUGCCUCCGCGCUGCGCCUGCGUCCGCACAGCUCCCGCAGCCCGAGCCCCAGCGCCCGCACGCACGCGCCAGAGCCGCCGCUCUGCCGCCGCCCUGCUAACGCCCGCCUGCCGCGUGCCUGGAGCUGAGCAGAGGGAGAGAGGAAGGAAAGAAGAUUUGGAUGGAGCCGUCGGUGGGAGAAAAAGAUAGAGACGCCUGGGAGAAAAGAAACAGAGGAGAAGGAGAAGGAGGAAUGGAUUUCCCCAAGGACUUAUGCGUAAUUUUAGAAAAUUGCAGGGGUCUUUCUGUAAAGCAUAAAUUUCACAUCAAUCUAAAACCCUAAUGAAGAAAUGCCCAAAAUGAAAGUUGGAGAGUUUUUCAAACUCUACAACAUUGCUUUAGGACUCAAGUUCAAAAACUCAAAACUUAUACCUUUACACGGGAAAUUUUGAACAAAAGUUGGAUUUGAAUUACUUUUGUCCUAAAGAGUGUAACUUUAUAAAAUUCAGGACCUAAAUGCAAGCAUUUAGGACACGUCAUGAUGACGGGAUAGACUCGUCAUAAUGAUUGGAUAGACAUGUCAUAAUGACCUGCACCUUUUACACUUUAGUCCUGAGUAAUUUUGAAAGUUACUUUUAUAAAUCAAAUACUUGCACAAAAGGACUUAUACUUUUAUAAAAUUACAUAAACACCCUAAUUUUUACCACUUUACCCAAAAUUUUUAUACAAUUCAACACAUGCAUUUCUAAUGCAAUUUUUGGAUAAAGAUAUACUUUUAAAAGACAUAAAAUAAGAAAAACAUAUUUGCAAAACUACCCUUCAUUUAAUUUGGAGUUACCUCCUAUCCAAUUACAUUUUGCAAAAAAAACAACCCUAGGUUUUUCUGUAAUUACAAAAAUACCCUUUUUACUUGCACCAUUAAAUUUUCAAAAGCUUCACACAAACAUACAUGAGCUUUAUACUAACAAACACAUAUUUCACACUAACAAAUAAUAUGCCUAGCUUACAAGUAAUUGAACUGUCACACUGUGCAUACAGGAAUUUAAUACAUCACACCUCCCUGAUCAGGUACAGGAUCAGGUAGCAUGCCUAGCGACUCCAGACCAGGGUGUGCGCCGGAUUAUUGGGCCGUUGACUGAGGGACCGGGGCCCACCAGCAGUCCUGGAAGCCUCCCGGCUCCUCGUGUUGCCUGUCACUGCUCGUCGGCGGGUUUUGACCGACAACAGUGCCGUGCAGCCCCGGUCACAUCUUGCGUGAUCGGGGCAGCGUUGUCCUUACUUGUUUACAUUUGUGUUGCUCAUUCUGAAGCAUUAUUGAUGGCGAGUAGCGCUAGUUAUCUCAACGCGUGUAGAACAACGAUUAGUCUUUUCUUGGUUUUAAUUAUGUUUUGUUCGUUAUCUAUAAGCGUUUAGCUGUUAUCGGACCCAAGUUUGGGUACGAGGGCAGCAUCUUGCUCUGUUCUUAUUUAGUAGAUCCAAUCUAUCAUGGUUAGUCUUUGAUCAUCAGAGAUUUAGUUUAAUAUCUGUGUAAUUAGGCCCUACAAACGAGCUGAAAGUUCCGGCAGUAUGAUUGGUAUCUUGUAAUAGCUUAGAGAGGGAUUGUUCCGGGAAUCGGCUUUCGGGUUGGUUGUUAGGCCUCUGUUUAGGUUGUUGCAUUGCUAUCCUUUUGUAUCUGUUAGGCUCGAUUAAGUGUAGGAUGUUCCGAUUACAAAGUGAGAGCUUUAAUCGUCGUAGAUUGGAUUAGCUUAAUGUUUAUAGAGUGAAGUUUGUACUGUUAUCGGAUAUAUUUGCCUUAUUCAUAAAUCCGAUCCGGUAAUUGAACACAAUCGGCUCUUUACAGCCGAUACCGGGAAGCAUUCGAUGAGCCGAUUACGGCUCGGACUAACGUUUACAUGUGUCUGUGCAUACAGGAAACUAACACAUAACACCUUCCUGAUCAGGUACAGGGUCAGGUGGCACGCCUAGCGACUCCAAGCCAGGGCGUGUGCCGGAUCUCGGGCCGUUGACCGAGGGACCGGGGCCCACUAGCAGUCCUGGGAGCCUCCUGGCUCCUCGUGUUGCCUGUCGCUGCUCGCCGGCGGGUUUUGAUCGGCAACAGGUAUAAAGUGGGCCACCUUGGUGAAUCGGUCCACAAUGACCCAUAUGGAAUCAUAACCAUCUCGGGUGCGUGGCAACCCCACAAUGAAAUCCAUACCAAUUUCUUCCCAUUUCCAUUCUAGCACCUUCAAUGGUUAUAACAAGCCGGCUGGUUUCUAAUGUUCUACCUUGACCCUCUGACAUACAUCACAAAGUGCCACAUGAGCUGCAACAUCACGCUUCAUACCAUACCACCAAUAUCUCUCUUUCAAAUCUUGGUACAUCUUGGUACUGCCAAGAUGGAUAGAAUAAGCCGAGUCAUGAGCUUCCCGCAUAAUUUUCUCUCGAAGGUGGUCCACAUCGGGCAUGCAUAUCCUCUUUCUGAACCAUACUGUUCCCUAUUUAUCUUUGAUGAAGUCAGGUGCCUUGCCUGCUUCAAUCAUCUCCCUUAUCUCCUGUAUCUUAGGAUCCUCACCCUUCCGUAUCUCUUGUUCAAGGGUCGGCUCUACCUCUAUAGUGAUUCCUUCCAUGUGAGCGAUGAACCCCAGAUUAAGCCGUUCAAACUCUUCGCACAACUCCCAUGGCAUCUAGCUAACCAUGAUCGCAUUCACAUGACUCUUGCGACUCAAGGCAUCAGCAACCACAUUUGCUUUCCCUGGAUGAUAGUGUAUCUCCAGAUCAUAAUCCUUGAUGAGCUCUAACCAUCUUCGCUGUUGUAACACCCUAAUGUAAUUUUCCCAAAUUUUAAGGAAUUUAUUUGGGCUUAAAUAAAAUUUCCAGGGUUUUCUCUAAUUUAUCUUGCAUUUAAAGUAAUCUUAUAACGCAAGUAAUUAAAAUUUAUGAUAGGAUCAACUUGUUUGUGCGUUCAUGCUGGAGCAUUGGUUUUAUUUGUGUGGAGUGUAUAGAGUUUGAAUUCAAAUUUACUUGAAUUCAACUAGAUUUGUUUGAAUGGUUAGAGUAUAGAAAAAGAAAAGGAAAGGAGAAGGAAUAAAAGAAGGCAGCCCAAACCUCCUCAUUGGCCCGACCUAGCUCUCCCUCCCUCCCUCCCCUCUUCUCUCCCCGUGGGCCGCGCCCCGGCCCAGUUCUCCCCAGCCCCGCGCCUCUCUCUUCUCUCUCUUUCCCUCCGCAGCCCAGCCCGAGCCAGCUCUCCCCCUUCCUCUCUUUGGCAGUGCGGUCCCACCGAUCAGCGCCCUUCUUCCCCCUCUCCUCCUUCUUCCCCGGCGCGCAACGUCCCGCGAGAUCUCCGGCGACCUUCUUCCCCAAGGCCCGCACGCCAAUGGGACCCCGCCGCCCUACAAAAGGGGUUUCCCCCGUCCCUUGGAACCCUAACCCUAAGCUUCGCAGGACCCGAGGCACCCUAGCGCUACCCCCGCUCUGCUCCGCCGCGUUCCCCCUCUCUGAGCCACCGUGGGCACGCCGUUUUACCGCACCCAGGCCCGCUCGAGCCAUCGCAUCAGCUUCGCCUCACCACCCAGGAACUCCAGCGCCCUUCACCCUCGACUCCAGUCUGCUAUUGUGCCCGAAUUUCUCCCGAAGGUCGUCGCAGGUGAGCACGGCCGCGCGCCGCAAUUGCUUGCCGCCGGAGGACCGCGGGCCCCCUUAACACUUUGGUCGCCUCCGCAGGAGCUUCCCGGAUCGAUCCCCGCAAUCCAGAGGGCCCGGCCACCUCGGCAUUACCCUCCUCCGCGAGAGCCCGAUCUCCUCCGCCGCAGGACCUCGUCGCCGGCCAUCCUCCGCUGUAGCACCGGCCACCACAAGCCCCUGGUGAGCACCACACUCCCUCCCCACAGCUUAUGCACUAGAUGUCGAAGCCCAGGACCCUUCCUAGCCCCUGGAACGCCGCUCGCCGGCGAUGUCCGCCACCCCGAGCCGCCCUCGCCGUCGAUACGCCCUAACCGAGCCCAAGUCCACCCCCGCGUGUGCCCAGCUGGGUUCCCCGUAUCGUGCUGAGUCUCCUGGGCUUGAUCUCGUCGUGAAUUGUCCCCGGGAACGCGUAAUCGUGUGUCUAAGGCGAGCCGCCGCCGCGGGAAGGGAGCUCCGGUGACCUCCUCCGCCGCCCGUGCGCCCAGUAGUCCCGAGCCGUAGGAUCCAAGGCGAACGGACAGGAUUAGACCGAGACUGAGGUAGAUCUGAGCCGUGCGAUCGAGAUCCGGUGGUUCGGGUCAAGCGAUACCGGUUCGGUGUGAGAUGGAGUCAGAGCCGUCCGAUUCAAGAUCUGCGAUGUGGAUUAGAUUCGUUUAAGUAUAGGUCCGGACCGUUCGAUUUAGAUCGGAUGGCCAUGGUGAGCGCGUACCCCUUCGCGUAAUAGAUCUAAUCCGCGCUGUUAGAUCCGGAUCCAAGGGCCCAGAACAGAAGAUACCGGUUCAGCCAGUUGGUUUUGCUAAAAAGUCCCUGCCCUUUCGGGAAUCAACCCGCGGUCCACCCUUAGUUCAAAAGAAAUUUUAGUCAAGUCCUGUUUUACCCGUUUAGACCCCUGAGCUUUCCAGUUUUUGAACCCGCCGUCCAAGCCCCUGGUUUUCGCGUGCUAGCCCCUGUGUCUACCCUUUAUUUACAUUUAGGUCCCUGGUUUUUGUCCAGAACCCCCUGUAGUCCAGUUUUUCUCGCAAAUAGGUCCCUGGAUCUUGUUUCAAGCGUAGAUUUCGCGUCUUAGCUCCGUUUUAGGUGUUCUUUAUGUCCACGCGAUCGUUGUAACGCGUAGAAUAGUUCUAGGCUAGUUUUGUGUGCUGUUCUAUGGUAUUGGUGUACUGUUUUCUUAUAGUUUGCUAUUGUUUGUGCAUGUGUGUAUGUGUGGACUAUGCUUGAUGAUCGUGAGUAGACGCGGAGCCUUUGGACGAGUACCAGGAACAGCCAUCUUCCGAGCAGUUCGAGCAGCAGCCGGGAGAGUACGAGGAAGGCAAGUAUAACAUCAACAUCCUAUCACUUUUUAAUACGAUUUCAUACUGCAUUUUAAUACUGUAUGCCUAUAAGGACUUUCCUAGCCACUUUAUAUCCUAUAUAUAUAUCCUUUGGGUUGCAUUAUGGUUAGUUGUGCUAGGUUGCUGCGCUAUAACAAACUUGGUCCUUUUUAAUUAAAUUUGGUUAAUGGUCUUGUGCAACUUAAUCCUAAGCGUGGCCCUCUGUGCUGUGUGCUUGAGUGGCUCACAUCUCCGUAAAAGAUGUUUUGUUAGAAACUUGGUUUAGGGGGCCAGCACGGUGCUUAGUGCUUGGUUGGCCACUCUCCAUAAGGACCGGUUCAUAGAGCGACAACCUGGGACAACCGCGCAACCACAAGACUGGAAUACACGGUCUUGACUUACUAAUUAGGCCGUGUUGGUUCGGGAGUAACUUACCUGCGUGGGCAAGAGGGGUGGUAAGCUUCAAUGGUCCCUGCUCCUCCGGCUUGGUCUGUGCUGUGUGUCUUGUACCCCCGGAGGUGGGCCCCAUCGUUGCUGAUCCAGAAUCCUUAGCGGUUACACCCUACCAACGUGAUCCUUUGUAACGGUCUCGUAGUGUGCUUGCUAGCCAUCUCACCUAAGGAAGUGUGAUGAACAACUAGCGUAGCUCACGACUUGUGGGUAAAGUUGUGCAACUUCUCAAGAGUGUAAAACUGAUAUAUCAGCUGUGCUCACAGUUAUGAGCGGCCUAGAUCCUCCUUUUGAUUAGUGGGGUUAUCAACCUUUGAUUAGGGAGAUUUCCCGGGUGGUUUUGGUUUGGUUGGUUUCUCAGUAGUUCUUAACUAAUAUUGAUUAAUUUCUUAUGCAAUAUGGGUUUAUGGUAAUUCAUCCACUUAUAGUAAAUAGUUUUAAUAAAAAUUUGCCAAGAUUAAAAGCUACUGCAGUUGAGUCAGCUAACCCUAGAGCCUCAUACUCGUGUUAUACUUGUUGAGUACAAGUUGUGUACUCACACUUGCCUCUUCCUCUCUUCUAUUCUCUUUGGGAUAACUUCGACUGCUGCUCAGUACCAGACGACGUGGAGGACUACAUCAGCGGACUCGACGAUUUCUAGGCGUUGUCUCCCAGUU